CCAUAUAGCUAUUCGUUGUAGGCUCACAUAACAGCAGGGAUUCAUUCGAGUACACCUACAUCCCAGGCAAUAGGUAAGUUUGUAAAAAGGUUGUCAUGUCAAUCUUUAUUGUAAUGUCAGAAUAACUGACCCUACAAAUCUGAAGAGAGAUGAAAUUUCAAAUUUUACCCGCGGAUCCAAUUCCACGAGGUUACUGACCAACAUUUUAGCCAGACUACAC
RNAcentral lists this long non-coding RNA (220 nucleotides) under Actinidia chinensis (golden kiwifruit). RNAcentral describes it as "long non-coding RNA (ACHI_LNC003482)". Lineage: Eukaryota; Viridiplantae; Streptophyta; Magnoliopsida; Ericales; Actinidiaceae. The record is from RNAcentral.